This 394-nucleotide ribosomal RNA is filed under the name uncultured Anaeromyxobacter sp. RNAcentral's name for it is "bacterial SSU rRNA". It matches the Rfam family "Bacterial small subunit ribosomal RNA", at positions 67 to 447 of the family's 1533-position model. Lineage: Bacteria; Pseudomonadati; Myxococcota; Myxococcia; Myxococcales; Anaeromyxobacteraceae. The record is from RNAcentral.
CGAGAAAGCCCGCAAGGGUGAGUAAAGCGGCGCACGGGUGCGUAACACGUGGGUAAUCUGCCCUGGAGCCCGGAAUAACUCUCCGAAAGGAGAGCUAAUGCCGGAUGAGACCACGGGAGCCUCGGCUCCUGCGGGAAAAGGUGGCCUCUGUAUACAAGCUAUCGCUCUAGGAUGAGCCCGCGGCCCAUCAGCUAGUUGGCGGGGUAAUGGCCCACCAAGGCUACGACGGGUAGCUGGUCUGAGAGGACGAUCAGCCACACUGGAACUGAGACACGGUCCAGACUCCUACGGGAGGCAGCAGUGGGGAAUCUUGCGCAAUGGGCGAAAGCCUGACGCAGCAACGCCGCGUGCGUGACGAAGGUCUUCGGAUCGUAAAGCACUGUCGCGAGGGACG